Non-coding RNA from Balearica pavonina (black crowned-crane), 135 nucleotides. The record is from Rfam. Lineage: Eukaryota; Metazoa; Chordata; Aves; Gruiformes; Gruidae.
CUGCACACCAGUAGACCUUAUCUGGUUCUUCUAAUAGCCAGACGAGGGGGAUGGUGCAUGCGAGAAAAACGUGGGGUUGCUGUAGACUGUGAUCAGCCGUGACGUGGCUGAUUGAACUACAAUACUCCAACAUAA